RNAcentral lists this ribosomal RNA (2418 nucleotides) under Gammaproteobacteria bacterium HGW-Gammaproteobacteria-1. RNAcentral's name for it is "bacterial LSU rRNA". It matches the Rfam family "Bacterial large subunit ribosomal RNA", at positions 1 to 2505 of the family's 2925-position model. Lineage: Bacteria; Pseudomonadati; Pseudomonadota; Gammaproteobacteria. The record is from RNAcentral.
GUUAUAUGGUCAAGCGAAUAAGUGCAUACGGCGGAUGCCUUGGCGACAACAGGCGAUGAAGGACGUGGUAGCCUGCGAUAAGCUUCGGGGAGUCGGCAAACAGACUUUGAUCCGAAGAUUUCCGAAUGGGGAAACCCACCGCUUCGGCGGUAUCGCAUACUGAAUACAUAGGUAUGCGAGGCGAACCCGGGGAACUGAAACAUCUAAGUACCCGGAGGAAAAGAAAUCAACCGAGAUUCCCUUAGUAGCGGCGAGCGAACGGGGAGCAGCCCUUAAGAACGGUCUGGAAAGUCCGGCCAUAGCGGGUGAUAGCCCCGUACACGAAAGGGUAUCAGAGGUGAAAUCGAGUAGGGCGGGACACGUGAAAUCCUGUCUGAAAAUGGGGGGACCAUCCUCCAAGGCUAAAUACUCGUUGUCGACCGAUAGUGAACCAGUACCGUGAGGGAAAGGCGAAAAGAACCCCUGUGAGGGGAGUGAAAUAGAACCUGAAACCGUAUGCAUACAAGCAGUGGGAGCCCCUUCGUGGGGUGACUGCGUACCUUUUGUAUAAUGGGUCAGCGAGUUACUUUUAGUGGCAAGGUUAACCGUAUAGGGGAGCCGUAGGGAAACCGAGUCUUAAUAGGGCGUUUAGUCGCUAGGAGUAGACCCGAAACCAGUCGAUCUAUCCAUGGCCAGGGUGAAGGUGGGGUAAAACCCACUGGAGGCCCGAACCCACUCCCGUUGAAAAGGUAGGGGAUGAGCUGUGGAUAGGGGUGAAAGGCUAAUCAAGGCUGGAGAUAGCUGGUUCUCCCCGAAAGCUAUUUAGGUAGCGCCUCAUGUAUAACUCCCGGGGGUAGAGCACUGUUACGGCUAGGGGGUCGUCUAGACUUACCAACCCGUUGCAAACUCCGAAUACCGGGAAGUUCGAGCAUGGGAGACACACGGCGGGUGCUAACGUCCGUCGUGAAGAGGGAAACAACCCAGACCGCCAGCUAAGGUCCCAAAAUCACAGCUUAGUGGAAAACGAUGUGGGAAGGCUUAGACAGCCAGGAGGUUGGCUUAGAAGCAGCCAUCCUUUAAAGAAAGCGUAAUAGCUCACUGGUCGAGUCGGCCCGCGCGGAAGAUUUAACGGGGCUCAAGUUGUGUACCGAAGCUGCGGGUGUAUGCGUUAAGCAUACGCGGUAGGGGAGCGUUCCGUACGCCUGCGAAGGUGUGCUGUAAGGCAUGCUGGAGGUAUCGGAAGUGCGAAUGCUGACAUGAGUAACGAUAAUGCGGGUGAAAAACCCGCACGCCGAAAGUCCAAGGUUUCCUGCGCAACGUUAAUCGGCGCAGGGUUAGUCGGCCCCUAAGGCGAGACUGAAAAGUGUAGUCGAUGGGAAACAGGUUAAUAUUCCUGUACCUCGCGUUACUGCGAUGGGGGGACGGAGAAGGUUAGGUCAGCCAGGUGUUGGUAGUCCUGGUUUAAGCAUGUAGGGAGUGCUCUUAGGCAAAUCCGGGAGCACAAUCCUGAGGUGUGAUGACGAGCUGCUACGGCAGCGAAGUGAUUGAUGCCAUGCUUCCAAGAAAAUCCUCUAAGCUUCAGGUAACGCAAGACCGUACUCGAAACCGACACAGGUGGACAGGGUGAGUAUCCCAAGGCGCUUGAGAGAACUCGGGUGAAGGAACUAGGCAAAAUAGCACCGUAACUUCGGGAGAAGGUGUGCCCUUUGUAUGUGAAGGCCCUGCGGCCGGAGCAGAAGAGGGUUGCAGUGACCAGGCCGCUGCGACUGUUUAUUAAAAACACAGCACUCUGCAAACACGAAAGUGGACGUAUAGGGUGUGACGCCUGCCCGGUGCCGGAAGGUUAAUUGAUGGGGUCAGCGCAAGCGAAGCUCUUGAUCGAAGCCCCGGUAAACGGCGGCCGUAACUAUAACGGUCCUAAGGUAGCGAAAUUCCUUGUCGGGUAAGUUCCGACCUGCACGAAUGGUCAGUGAAAUUGAAAUAGCGGUGAAGAUGCCGUUUUCCCGCGGCUAGACGGAAAGACCCCGUGAACCUUUACUGUAGCUUUGCACUGAACUUUGAACAUGUUUGUGUAGGAUAGGUGGGAGGCUUUGAAACCAGGACGCCAGUUCUGGUGGAGCCGACCUUGAAAUACCACCCUGACAUGUUCGAGGUUCUAACCUAGGUCCGUUAUCCGGAUCGGAGACAGUGCAUGGUGGGCAGUUUGACUGGGGCGGUCUCCUCCCAAAGAGUAACGGAGGAGCACGAAGGUACCCUCAGCGCGGUCGGACAUCGCGCAAUGAGUGCAAAGGCAUAAGGGUGCUUAACUGCGAGACAGACACGUCGAGCAGGUGCGAAAGCAGGUCUUAGUGAUCCGGUGGUUCUGUAUGGAAGGGCCAUCGCUCAACGGAUAAAAGGUACUCCGGGGAUAACAGGCUGAUACCGCCCAAGAGUUCAUAU